This 501-nucleotide ribosomal RNA is filed under the name uncultured bacterium. Its description in RNAcentral is "partial 16S ribosomal RNA". It matches the Rfam family "Bacterial small subunit ribosomal RNA", at positions 30 to 523 of the family's 1533-position model. The record is from RNAcentral.
AUUGAACGCUGGCGGCAGGCUUAACACAUGCAAGUCGAGCGGGGGAAGGUAGCUUGCUACUGGACCUAGCGGCGGACGGGUGAGUAAUGCUUAGGAAUCUGCCUAUUAGUGGGGGACAACAUCUCGAAAGGGAUGCUAAUACCGCAUACGGCCUACGGGAGAAAGCAGGGGAUCUUCGGACCUUGCGCUAAUAGAUGAGCCUAAGUCGGAUUAGCUAGUUGGUGGGGUAAAGGCCUACCAAGGCGACGAUCUGUAGCGGGUCUGAGAGGAUGGUCCGCCACACUGGGACUGAGACACGGCCCAGACUCCUACGGGAGGCAGCAGUGGGGAAUAUUGGACAAUGGGGGGAACCCUGAUCCAGCCAUGCCGCGUGUGUGAAGAAGGCCUUAUGGUUGUAAAGCACUUUAAGCGAGGAGGAGGCUACUUUAGUUAAUACCUAGAGAUAGUGGACGUUACUCGCAGAAUAAGCACCGGCUAACUCUGUGCCAGCAGCCGCCGUAA